Molecule: ribosomal RNA, 313 nt
Filed under: uncultured fungus
Lineage: Eukaryota; Fungi
Description: partial large subunit ribosomal RNA
Rfam family: Eukaryotic large subunit ribosomal RNA
Source: RNAcentral
AUAUAACUAAGCGGAGGAAAAGAAACAAACAUGAAUCGAACUAGUAACGGCGAGUGAAGAUUCGAAAGCUCACACUGAAAAUCCUUCGGGAAUUGUAGUCUAGAAAGGGAAUACCAGCUUUUAUCUUAUAUACUAAAUCUUUUGGGAAAAAGUACUAGAAAAGGUGAGAGUCCUGUUCUGUGUAUAUUUGUAUAAUUGCGCACGGUAUCCUUUUAACGAGUCAGAUUUCUUGCGACUGAAGUCUAAAUUCGAGGUAAAUUUCUUGAAAAGCUAAAUAUUAGUGAGAGACCGAUAGCGAACAAGUACCGUGAGG